AAAAGGUGGCUAUGCUACCGCUUUUGGAUGGGCCCGCGGCGCAUUAGCUAGUUGGUGGGGUAAAGGCUUACCAAGGCAAUGAUGCGUAGCCGAAUUGAGAGGUUGAUCGGCCACAUUGGGACUGAGACACGGCCCAAACUCCUACGGGAGGCAGCAGUAGGGAAUCUUCCACAAUGGGCGAAAGCCUGAUGGAGCAACGCCGCGUGGGUGAAGAAGGUCUUCGGAUCGUAAAACCCUGUUGUUAGAGAAGAAAGUGCGUGAGAGUAACUGUUCACGUUUCGACGGUAUCUAACCAGAAAGCCACGGCUAACUACGUGCCAGCAGCCGCGGUAAUACGUAGGUGGCAAGCGUUAUCCGGAUUUAUUGGGCGUAAAGGGAACGCAGGCGGUCUUUUAAGUCUGAUGUGAAAGCCUUCGGCUUAACCGGAGUAGUGCAUUGGAAACUGGGAGACUUGAGUGCAGAAGAGGAGAGUGGAACUCCAUGUGUAGCGGUGAAAUGCGUAGAUAUAUGGAAGAACACCAGUGGCGAAAGCGGCUCUCUGGUCUGUAACUGACGCUGAGGUUCGAAAGCGUGGGUAGCAAACAGGAUUAGAUACCCUGGUAGUCCACGCCGUAAACGAUGAAUGCUAAGUGUUGGAGGGUUUCCGCCCUUCA
RNAcentral lists this ribosomal RNA (653 nucleotides) under uncultured bacterium. Its description in RNAcentral is "bacterial SSU rRNA". It matches the Rfam family "Bacterial small subunit ribosomal RNA", at positions 202 to 842 of the family's 1533-position model. The record is from RNAcentral.